Molecule: ribosomal RNA, 253 nt
Filed under: uncultured bacterium
Lineage: Bacteria
Description: partial 16S ribosomal RNA
Rfam family: Bacterial small subunit ribosomal RNA
Source: RNAcentral
GACGUAGGGAGCGAGCGUUGUCCGGAUUCAUUGGGCGUAAAGAGCGCGUAGGCGGCCGUGCAAGUCGGUUGUGAAAUCCCGGGGCUCAACCCCGGGACUGCGUCCGAUACUGCACGGCUCGAGGCAGGUAGGGGAGAGUGGAAUUCCCGGUGUAGCAGUGAAAUGCGUAGAGAUCGGGAGGAACAUCAGUUGCGAAGGCGGCUCUCUGGACCAGCACUGACACUGAGGCACGAAAGCGUGGGGAGCAAACAGG